GACCGCGUAGCUCAGUUGGCAGACCGUUGGGCUGGUAUUCCCAAUGUCGUAGGUUCGAUUCCCACCGCGGGCA
RNAcentral lists this transfer RNA (73 nucleotides) under Paramuricea clavata. It matches the Rfam family "tRNA". Rfam says of the family: Transfer RNA (tRNA) molecules are approximately 80 nucleotides in length. Their secondary structure includes four short double-helical elements and three loops (D, anti-codon, and T loops). Further hydrogen bonds mediate the characteristic L-shaped molecular structure. tRNAs have two regions of fundamental functional importance: the anti-codon, which is responsible for specific mRNA codon recognition, and the 3' end, to which the tRNAs corresponding amino acid is attached (by aminoacyl-tRNA synthetases). tRNAs cope with the degeneracy of the genetic code in two manners: having more than one tRNA (with a specific anti-codon) for a particular amino acid; and 'wobble' base-pairing, i.e. permitting non-standard base-pairing at the 3rd anti-codon position. Lineage: Eukaryota; Metazoa; Cnidaria; Anthozoa; Malacalcyonacea; Plexauridae. The record is from Rfam by way of RNAcentral.